Molecule: long non-coding RNA, 1035 nt
Filed under: Marmota monax (woodchuck)
Lineage: Eukaryota; Metazoa; Chordata; Mammalia; Rodentia; Sciuridae
Source: RNAcentral
CCACAGGCCUGCCAGAGCAGGGCCAGGGGCUGCUCGGGAGAUAUGCAUUGAACCUCCCCCAUGAUGCCCUACUCUUGCAACCCUGCCCCCUGCCCAGAGAAAAGCUCCCAGAGUGUAUGAACAAACUGGGGGGCACCGUGAAAGACCUGCCUUUCCCAGGGCAGAGAGGGACCUUCAGCAUUCAGCUCUGCCUGCCUAGACAAGGAGACCCCCACCGCCACCCAGGGCCUAUGCAGCCCCGAAUUUUGCAAACCAAACACCUUCCUACUGAAUCCUUUCACAGCUGUGAGCAUCUCAGGUUGGCCAAGUGACCUUUCUUUCGACCGUGUUCAUUUUCCACCAAUGGCUCCCUCUAGCUAACCUUUUUAUGGGGUUGAUAAUUUGUUUUAAAAUCAAUAAUAAAAAUAAAACACCUGUGUGAUUUUGUGCAGAGAUGUAACUUCCUUUUUAGUAGGAGCAGCCCCCCCUUAAAUCCCUGAGAGGAGUUUGCUUUCUCUUAUUCUGGGUUCUCGGAAACAGGUGCAGGGUACGGAGGAGCUACCGAUUGUCCUAGCAGGGAGUUGUUCUGAAAUGACACCUGGCUCUUGUCUAUCAUAAAUACUUUAAAAUAAGUCAAGGAUCCCUGCUUGGGGCUCGGGGCAAGGGUGGUGUGGCAGCACCUCCCUUAAAUACCAAUGAUGCUGCCUGGCCUGGUGGGGCACUCCGAUAAUCCCAGCAGCUGGGGAGGCUGAGGCAGGAGGAUCUCGAGUUCAAAGCCAGCCUCAGCAACUUAGUGAGGUCCUAAGCAACUCAGCGAGACCCUGUCUCUAAAUAAAAUAUAAAAAAGGAUGGGGAUGUGGCUCAGUGGUCAGGCACCCCUGGGUUCAAUCCCUGGUACCAAAAUAAAUAAAUAAAUUUGAAAAAAUGAUGCUGAAGGUGGGAAAAUUCCAGGUGACUCUGCUCAUUCAUGGUGGUACACAAGUGGGACAAAGGACAGUCCUCCAUCCUCAGGGGCCACUCCCACCCAUGUCAAAUUCUUUGGAGCUUGGGGCUGUU